GUUGGUGAGGUAACGGCUCACCAAGGCCACGAUGCAUAGCCGACCUGAGAGGGUGAUCGGCCACAUUGGGACUGAGACACGGCCCAAACUCCUACGGGAGGCAGCAGUAGGGAAUCUUCGGCAAUGGACGAAAGUCUGACCGAGCAACGCCGCGUGAGUGAAGAAGGUUUUCGGAUCGUAAAACUCUGUUGUUAGAGAAGAACAAGGAUGAGAGUAACUGUUCAUCCCUUGACGGUAUCUAACCAGAAAGCCACGGCUAACUACGUGCCAGCAGCCGCGGUAAUACGUAGGUGGCAAGCGUUGUCCGGAUUUAUUGGGCGUAAAGCGAGCGCAGGCGGUUUCUUAAGUCUGAUGUGAAAGCCCCCGGCUCAACCGGGGAGGGUCAUUGGAAACUGGGAGA
This 400-nucleotide ribosomal RNA is filed under the name Enterococcus faecium. RNAcentral's name for it is "bacterial SSU rRNA". It matches the Rfam family "Bacterial small subunit ribosomal RNA", at positions 248 to 640 of the family's 1533-position model. The record is from RNAcentral. Lineage: Bacteria; Bacillati; Bacillota; Bacilli; Lactobacillales; Enterococcaceae.